This is a long non-coding RNA of Astatotilapia calliptera (eastern happy), 1958 nucleotides long. Lineage: Eukaryota; Metazoa; Chordata; Actinopteri; Cichliformes; Cichlidae. The record is from Ensembl.
GGACGAUCACACUGAAGCAAUCUGCUUCUGCUACUGCACUUAGUGAUACGGAAACAUUGGAUUGAUUUAAAAGCAGCCCACUGGCAGCUUUCCACCCAUGGCUUUGGAAAGAAAGAACCAUUGUCACCCCCACCCCUGCCGUGUUUAAGCUGACAAUAUCUGCACCAACCAUUUAUUCCUGUCUUCACCUGUGACAAGGAUCGCUGGGUUACUGUGAAGAUGUGACAGAAGCUUUGUGCUGCAGUCGCUAUGAGGACACUAAGGCUUUUGCUGGUAACCCUGACGCUGCUGGUGCUGGAAAGUCAGGGUUUUGAACUGCAGGAUACGAUCCAUGCGCUGAUAGAGGAGAACAUCCACCUCCAUGACCAGCUGGAGAACCUCACCAAGGCCCUCAGAGAGCUCAAACGGAUGCUGUGGCUUCACUCAAAUGACCCAGAUCAUCACCAUGAACAUCAUGAUGAAGAUGUCCAGCAUCUGUGGGACGAAUGGUCAGAACAUGGUAUCAGUGCAGAAACCCACCUCCUGCUGGAAAACACCUUUUGUGGGCAUGGCCUGCAUGGCUCAGCAGCUCCUCUCCACGGACACGGAGCACACCUCAUACGCCUGCUGAUGCUGCUGCAGCUGCUGCUGAUAAUGAUGAGAUGCCUGUAGGCUGCAGCGGUCUGAUGUCAGAAAAGUUGAGUCAACUCCUCAUGGCCGCUGCAGGCUGUAUUGUGCAAUUUAAUAUGGUUGAACAGCGAGUGUCGAUGCCACCGCUCUUCCUGUUCAGAGGAAUUAUUGAGCCGACAAGAUUUGAAGAGUUGACCUGUCAAUCCUGUGUACAAAUCACCUCUGGGGAGGAUUCACUGGAGCGAAAAGUUCAUGUGGGUGUAGAGAAAGCAGACUGAGAGCAGGUUAAACACAGGGAGUUGCCUUACUUUUUAGCCAUUUAUUGUAUUAAUGAAAUACAAUAAAUGUUUAUAACUAAGCUGAACUCAGAAAGUUGGUUUUUGUAACUCUAAAUGGAAAUGCUGUGAACUUUACUGAAAAAUAAAGCUAACUGCUAAUUUUUUGUGUUUGCCUGAGUACAGCUAAAGCCACUUUACCUGCUAUAAAAUGAAACAAUAAUUCUUUCCAAUUUAAAAAAAACUAAGUAAUGAAAUAGAAAUAAUUACUGAAAUAUCAAUGAAUUUAUUUGAAAAGAUGUAAUAGAUUAUUUCCAAUUUGAAAUAGUUAAUUACUGAAAUGUGUAAUUUAUUAUUUAUUUACUUAUUUAAUUCAUUUUGGCACUCUUGGCCCUCCAGUUUCAACAACACUAGUUAUCACUCAGGUGUUUUCACCUUAAACACUUCUACCCCAACGCUUUACGUUGUUCACCAGUUCCUGUUUUAAAAACAAUAAAAUGUUAAAGCAGCCAAAGUCGUUCUUCAGUUGAACCACUUGGCAGUCAUCUUGAAACGCCUCCAGGCACUUUUCUUUUACGCAAUAUGUAAAUAUCACCAGCACAUUGGUAAUUAUUAUUGCAAUCACCUGAUUACCUGUUUUUAAAAAAUAAAAUAGUUUGUUUACCUCUUUGCAAGUUCUGCUCCAUCACAAGCUUGAUAGAGGACUUUUAGAAUUCAUUUAGUUCAGGACACUUUUAGUGCCACCCCUUCUUUUUAUAUAAGAAAGCACAUCGAAUUUAAAUUCCUCACAUAAAACAUCCUGAAUAAUCAGGUCCCAUCUUAUCUUAAAGACCUCCCAUGAUGCAAUGAGUGUUUCUUCUUCACUCACCUCUAAUCGUUGGUUUUUACUAACCUCUGGCCCUCUUCCACAGUGUUUCUUUCAUCCCGUCUCCCUCCCCUCACCCACUUGCAGCAGAUGGCUGAUUCAACCUGAGCCUGGAGGUUUCUUCCUGUUGAAAGGGAGUUUUUCCUUCCCACUGUCACCAAGUGAUCGCUCAUAACUGCUUGUUGGGGCUUGUCCUUCUAACAUUGCAG